UGGGGAAUAUUGGACAAUGGGCGAAAGCCUGAUCCAGCCAUGCCGCGUGUGUGAAGAAGGUCUUCGGAUUGUACAGCACUUUAAGUUGGGAGGAAGGGCAGUAAGCGAAUACCUUGCUGUUUUGACGUUACCGACAGAAUAAGCACCGGCUAACUCUGUGCCAGCAGCCGCGGUAAUACAGAGGGUGCAAGCGUUAAUCGGAAUUACUGGGCGUAAAGCGCGCGUAGGUGGUUCGUUAAGUUGAAUGUGAAAGCCCCGGGCUCAACCUGGGAACUGCAUCCAAAACUGGCGAGCUAGAGUAGGGCAGAGGGUGGUGGAAUUUCCUGUGUAGCGGUGAAAUGCGUAGGUAUAGGAAGGAACACAAGUGGCGAAGGAGACCACCUGGGCUCAUACUGACACUGAGGUGCGAAAGCGUGGGGAGCAAACAGG
Molecule: ribosomal RNA, 429 nt
Filed under: Pseudomonadota bacterium
Lineage: Bacteria; Pseudomonadati; Pseudomonadota
Description: Proteobacteria bacterium partial 16S ribosomal RNA
Rfam family: Bacterial small subunit ribosomal RNA
Source: RNAcentral